RNAcentral lists this long non-coding RNA (258 nucleotides) under Elaeis guineensis (African oil palm). Its description in RNAcentral is "long non-coding RNA (EGUI_LNC013186)". The record is from RNAcentral. Lineage: Eukaryota; Viridiplantae; Streptophyta; Magnoliopsida; Arecales; Arecaceae.
UUAAGAUCUAAUUUGGCUCAGUGGUUCGAGCCCAGGUCAAUAGACUAAUCUGAUCAAUUUUAAUAAAUCAAUUUGGUGUUUAAGGCAAGUACAUAGAUGGUGGUUAUUUAAUUGAUUCUAUUGUCUGAUCUGACCAAUUCGUUGGUAUCUAAGAAGAGCAAUAGGGAGAUCCCACCCCCACUCAUCUUAAUUUAUCUGACCAUUUUGAGAGAUUAUGUUUUGUAUUUGGUUACUUGUUGGCUCGAGCUAGCCCAUGCC